GACGAACGCUGGCGGCGUGCUUAACACAUGCAAGUCGAACGGAAAGGCCCUUCGGGGUCCUCGAGUGGCGAACGGGUGAGUAACACGUGGGUGAUCUGCCCUGCACUUUGGGAUAAGCCUGGGAAACUGGGUCUAAUACCGAAUAGGACCACGCGCUUCAUGGUGUGUGGUGGAAAGCUUUUGCGGUGUGGGAUGGGCCCGCGGCCUAUCAGCUUGUUGGUGGGGUAAUGGCCUACCAAGGCGACGACGGGUAGCCGGCCUGAGACGGUGACCGGCCACACUGGGACUGAGAUACGGCCCAGACUCCUACGGGAGGCAGCAGUGGGGAAUAUUGCACAAUGGGCGCAAGCCUGAUGCAGCGACGCCGCGUGAGGGAUGACGGCCUUCGGGUUGUAAACCUCUUUCAAUAGGGACGAAGCGCAAGUGACGGUACCUAUAGAAGAAGCACCGGCCAACUACGUG
This 462-nucleotide ribosomal RNA is filed under the name uncultured bacterium. Its description in RNAcentral is "partial 16S ribosomal RNA". It matches the Rfam family "Bacterial small subunit ribosomal RNA", at positions 28 to 507 of the family's 1533-position model. The record is from RNAcentral.